This 307-nucleotide ribosomal RNA is filed under the name uncultured bacterium. RNAcentral's name for it is "bacterial SSU rRNA". It matches the Rfam family "Bacterial small subunit ribosomal RNA", at positions 29 to 327 of the family's 1533-position model. The record is from RNAcentral.
AGCGAACGCUGGCGGUAUGCUUAACACAUGCAAGUCGAGCGCGAAAGUGACUUCGGUCAUGAGUAGAGCGGCGGACGGGUGAGUAACACGUGGAUAAUCUGCCUUUAGGACUGGGAUAACCCUGGGAAACUAGGGCUAAUACCGGAUAAGACCACAGGUUCCAUGGAACCAGGGGUAAAGGCGGCCUUCGGGCUGUCGCCGAAAGAUGAGUCCGCGUCCCAUCAGGUAGUUGGUGAGGAACGGCUCACCAAGCCGAAGACGGGUAGCCGACCUUAGCGGGUGAUCGGCCACACGGGGACUGAGACAC